CAGCCUGAAGUGAUGAUCUUAAUCCAUGUCUCUUCUCUGAGAUUUAUUGUGGAGACAACUAGAAGAAUUUCUGAUCAGGCUU
This is a small nucleolar RNA of Coturnix japonica (Japanese quail), 82 nucleotides long. Ensembl annotates it as small nucleolar RNA, C/D box 111B. The record is from Ensembl. Lineage: Eukaryota; Metazoa; Chordata; Aves; Galliformes; Phasianidae.